AUUAAUCAGCAGAUAUGUCUGACAAACCAGAUAUGGCUGAAAUUGAGAAAUUUGACAAGUCUAAGUUGAAGAAGACAGAAACGCAAGAGAAGAACCCACUGCCUUCAAAAGAAACAAUUGAACAGGAGAAGCAGGCGGGUGAAUCGUAAUGAAAUCAGCCCUUCCAAAUUAUGCACUGUACAUUCCACAAGCAUUGCCUUCUUAUUUUUCUUCUUUUAGCUGUUUUAACUUUGUAAGAUGCAAAAAAAAAAAAAUAGAAAAUUAGGAAAUAAAGGACAGAUUCUUUACCUUAUGAAGAAACUAAAGCAGCACUCUUGUGCAUACUUAUCUGAGGGAAUGUCCUUUUUAUGUGCUGGAAGCUACUUUGAGAAAACAUGCACAAUAUUGGACUGGAAACAGAGGAACAAUUGCAGAAACCUAUGCAUAGAUUUCUUCUUGUUUCCCCUUACACAACAAGCUGCGGUAUGCUCCACGUGUGCAGUGGUGCAUGCAGAAGACUACUGCAGACUCCGAGACCAUUUUACAGCUUGUGUGCUGAGAGAUGACCUUGCUUCUUGUGAAAUAAAACAGACUGCCAGUUAUGUAUCCUGUUCUUCCGACCUCAAUAAUUUGUGACAAGCGAAACAGAAAAGUCAGUUCGUUUUCCUUUUUAGUGAAGGAAGGAGUCACAUACUGUCAAAGGUCUACUAUAAAUAAAAUUUCACUUGAUGACCA
RNAcentral lists this long non-coding RNA (714 nucleotides) under Pogona vitticeps (central bearded dragon). Its description in RNAcentral is "lncRNA (ENSPVIG00000019479.1)". The record is from RNAcentral. Lineage: Eukaryota; Metazoa; Chordata; Lepidosauria; Squamata; Agamidae.